Molecule: ribosomal RNA, 253 nt
Filed under: uncultured bacterium
Lineage: Bacteria
Description: partial 16S ribosomal RNA
Rfam family: Bacterial small subunit ribosomal RNA
Source: RNAcentral
UACGUAGGGGGCAAGCGUUGUCCGGAUUUAUUGGGCGUAAAGAGCGUGUAGGCGGUCAGGUAGGUCCGUUGUGAAAACUCGAGGCUCAACCUCGAGACGCCGAUGGAAACCAUCUGACUAGAGUCCGGAAGAGGAGAGUGGAAUUCCUGGUGUAGCGGUGAAAUGCGCAGAUAUUGGGAAGAACACCGGUGGCGCAAGCGGCUUGCUGGGCCAUAACUGACACUGAGGAACGAAAGCUAGGGGAGCGAAUGGG